Molecule: ribosomal RNA, 400 nt
Filed under: uncultured bacterium
Lineage: Bacteria
Description: bacterial SSU rRNA
Rfam family: Bacterial small subunit ribosomal RNA
Source: RNAcentral
GGGGAAUAUUGGACAAUGGGCGCAAGCCUGAUCCAGCAAUGCCGCGUGAGUGAUGAAGGCCUUCGGGUUGUAAAGCUCUUUCGCCCACGACGAUGAUGACGGUAGUGGGAGAAGAAGCCCCGGCUAACUUCGUGCCAGCAGCCGCGGUAAUACGAAGGGGGCUAGCGUUGUUCGGAAUGACUGGGCGUAAAGGGCGCGUAGGCGGCGCAUCAAGUCGGGCGUGAAAGCCCCGGGCUCAACCUGGGAACUGCGUUCGAGACUGGUGCGCUGGAGUUCGGGAGAGGAGAGUGGAAUUCCCAGUGUAGAGGUGAAAUUCGUAGAUAUUGGGAAGAACACCGAUGGCGAAGGCAGCUCUCUGGACCGAUACUGACGCUGAGGCGCGAAAGCGUGGGGAGCAAAC